AGUGGGAGCCAGGCUGGAGUCCGCUGGUGGAAGACAGGACACAGGCUGGAAAGGCAGGUGCUGGGGGCAGGAGCUCGGGCUGCGGGGAAUCGGCACAAAAAUAAGACAGCAGGCUGGGGAGAAGGCCCCUCCCCAUACGAAAUCAUCCCUAAGAUUCCAAAGGCCUGGAAAACACCUCGCUAGGAGAAGCUUCAUGGAUCAGGCCAGGUCCAGCACCCAGACAGGCAGGGGCCGAGCAGGGCAGGGCUGGGCAGGCUGGGCCAGCACCAGCCUAGGAAGCCCCCUCUCCAAAGCCCUGUCCUGUGCCCCUCUGGCCCUGGGCUAGCAAGUCUGAGCAUCUGGGGUCAAGGCGGAUCGCUGGGGACCAGGCACCUGGAAUGAGACAGAGGGGCAGUGCUGUGUGGGCCUCCCCAGGGACAGAACAUGGAGUGGGAGCUGCGCAUGGAGCCCCCGCUUGGGCAGCUCUGCAGGCCUCCAGGCCACCAAGGCAGCCAGCACAGUGGUCCUGGCAGGAGGGUGAGAGGGCGGCACAUUCCAGCCACAGCCCACCUCUCCUCCCAGGAUGCCUGGGGAAGUGCAGGAAGAGCCCUGUGGGGGCGGGGAUGGGAGCUCGGGCCAUCUUUGGAAAGAGGCUGUUAAGAGAAGGGAACAAGAUGGGGCUGCAGGCCAUUCCCUCCCCAUGACAAUGAGAGAGCUGCAGCCACAGUCCAUGCGGCCCCCUGUGCCUUCAGCAUCCAGCCUGCUGCGACUUUGAGGAUGAUGGCAGCUGAGGGUUCAUCGGGGCCAGGCUGUGUCCCAGGAGGCAUGGACUUGCUGGAGCUCAGCUGGUCAACUUCCAGGAGGCUCUGACCACCACCAAGUUCCAGCCAUGAGGGUCUCCUCCUCAGCCAGGGGCACCCAACCCCUUGGGAAAGGAAGGGCUAGGCAGCUCCCACACCCUCCUCACCCCAGGACGAGCCUGUAGAGAAGAGCAGCUGUGUUUUCAGCUAGAGCCAUGGGCAUGAGGGGUCCAGGGAAAGGGCUGUCCGGACAAGCCACCUGCAGUGCCCACGGCCCAGCCUGAGGCAGCUCACUCCCACCCCAGCCCCCGCCCAGGCCUGAGCCCACCGG
This 1110-nucleotide long non-coding RNA is filed under the name Homo sapiens (human). RNAcentral's name for it is "non-protein coding lnc-RTN4R-1:6". The record is from RNAcentral. Lineage: Eukaryota; Metazoa; Chordata; Mammalia; Primates; Hominidae.